Molecule: ribosomal RNA, 253 nt
Filed under: uncultured bacterium
Lineage: Bacteria
Description: partial 16S ribosomal RNA
Rfam family: Bacterial small subunit ribosomal RNA
Source: RNAcentral
UACGUAGGGUGCGAGCGUUGUCCGGAAUUAUUGGGCGUAAAGAGCUCGUAGGCGGCCUGUCGUGUCGGAUGUGAAAGCCCGGGGCUUAACCCCGGGUCUGCAUUCGAUACGGGCAGGCUAGAGUGUGGUAGGGGAGAUCGGAAUUCCUGGUGUAGCGGUGAAAUGCGCAGAUAUCAGGAGGAACACCGGUGGCGAAGGCGGAUCUCUGGGCCAUUACUGACGCUGAGGAGCGAAAGCGUGGGGAGCGAACAGG